AUUGAACGCUGGCGGCAUGCCUUACACAUGCAAGUCGAACGGCAGCACGGGUGCUUGCACCUGGUGGCGAGUGGCGAACGGGUGAGUAAUACAUCGGAACAUGUCCUGUAGUGGGGGAUAGCCCGGCGAAAGCCGGAUUAAUACCGCAUACGAUCUACGGAUGAAAGCGGGGGAGCUUAGGGACUCGCGCGAUAGGGUUGGGCGAUGGCUGAUUAGCUAGUUGGUGGGGUAAAGGCCUACCAAGGCGACGAUCAGUAGCUGGUCUGAGAGGACGACCAGCCACACUAGGACUGAGACACGGCCCAGACUCCUACGGGAGGCAGCAGUGGGGAAUUUUGGACAAUGGGCGAAAGCCUGAUCCAGCAAUGCCGCGUGUGUGAAGAAGGCCUUCGGGUUGUAAAGCACUUUUGUCCGGAAAGAAAUCCUUGGCCCUAAUACGGUCGGGGGAUGACGGUACCGGAAGAAUAAGCACCGGCUAACUACGUG
RNAcentral lists this ribosomal RNA (486 nucleotides) under uncultured bacterium. Its description in RNAcentral is "partial 16S ribosomal RNA". It matches the Rfam family "Bacterial small subunit ribosomal RNA", at positions 29 to 507 of the family's 1533-position model. The record is from RNAcentral.